This 253-nucleotide ribosomal RNA is filed under the name uncultured bacterium. RNAcentral describes it as "partial 16S ribosomal RNA". It matches the Rfam family "Bacterial small subunit ribosomal RNA", at positions 524 to 776 of the family's 1533-position model. The record is from RNAcentral.
UACGGAGGGUGCGAGCGUUGUCCGGAAUCACUGGGCGUAAAGGGCGCGUAGGUGGUAACUUAAGCGUGUGGUGAAAGCCCGGGGCUCAACCUCGGGUCGGCCAUGCGAACUGGGUCACUUGAGCACUGUAGAGGCAGGUGGAAUUCCGAGUGUAGCGGUGGAAUGCGUAGAGAUCCGGAAGAACACCGGUGGCGAAGGCGGCCUGCUGGGCAGUUGCUGACACUGAGGCGCGACAGCGUGGGGAGCAAACAGG